GUGCUAUAUGUAAGAGAGAAAGUCACUACUUCCUUUGACAAGGAUGAAAGAGGCAUUAACCUAAAACACACAUAUGAUUAAGAGAAUCUUUAUUUUUU
RNAcentral lists this non-coding RNA (98 nucleotides) under Sorex araneus (European shrew). Lineage: Eukaryota; Metazoa; Chordata; Mammalia; Eulipotyphla; Soricidae. The record is from RNAcentral.